ACUCCGUACGGGAGGCAGCAGGUAGGGAAUCUUCCACAAUGGGGACCGCAAGCCUGAUGGAGCAACACCGCGUGAGUGAAGAAGGGUUUCGGCUCGUAAAGCUCUGUUGUUAAAGAAGAACACGUAUGAGAGUAACUGUUCAUACGUUGACGGUAUUUAACCAGAAAGUCACGGCUAACUACGUGCCAGCAGCCGCGGUAAUACGUAGGUGGCAAGCGUUAUCCGGAUUUAUUGGGGCGUAAAGAGAGUGCAGGCGGUUUUCUAAGUCUGAUGUGAAAGCCUUCGGGCUUAACCGGAGAAGUGCAUCGGAAACUGGAUAACUUGAGUGCAGAAGAGGGGUAGUGGAACUCCAUGUGUAGCGGUGGAAUGCGUAGAUAUAUGGAAGAACACCAGUGGCGAAGCGGCUACCUGGUCUGCAACUGACGCUGAGACUCGGAAAGCAUGGGUAGCGAACAGGAUUAGAUACCCUGGUAGGAUAGCG
RNAcentral lists this ribosomal RNA (481 nucleotides) under uncultured bacterium. RNAcentral describes it as "bacterial SSU rRNA". It matches the Rfam family "Bacterial small subunit ribosomal RNA", at positions 335 to 801 of the family's 1533-position model. The record is from RNAcentral.